AGAGUUUGAUCCUGGCUCAGGAUGAACGCUGGCGGCGUGCCUAAUACAUGCAAGUCGAGCGAACGGACGAGAAGCUUGCUUCUCUGAUGUUAGCGGCGGACGGGUGAGUAACACGUGGAUAACCUACCUAUAAGACUGGGAUAACUUCGGGAAACCGGAGCUAAUACCGGAUAAUAUUUUGAACCGCAUGGUUCAAAAGUGAAAGACGGUCUUGCUGUCACUUAUAGAUGGAUCCGCGCUGCAUUAGCUAGUUGGUAAGGUAACGGCUUACCAAGGCAACGAUGCAUAGCCGACCUGAGAGGGUGAUCGGCCACACUGGAACUGAGACACGGUCCAGACUCCUACGGGAGGCAGCAGUAGGGAAUCUUCCGCAAUGGGCGAAAGCCUGACGGAGCAACGCCGCGUGAGUGAUGAAGGUCUUCGGAUCGUAAAACUCUGUUAUUAGGGAAGAACAUAUGUGUAAGUAACUGUGCACAUCUUGACGGUACCUAAUCAGAAAGCCACGGCUAACUACGUGCCAGCAGCCGCGGUAAUACGUAGGUGGCAAGCGUUAUCCGGAAUUAUUGGGCGUAAAGCGCGCGUAGGCGGUUUUUUAAGUCUGAUGUGAAAGCCCACGGCUCAACCGUGGAGGGUCAUUGGAAACUGGAAAACUUGAGUGCAGAAGAGGAAAGUGGAAUUCCAUGUGUAGCGGUGAAAUGCGCAGAGAUAUGGAGGAACACCAGUGGCGAAGGCGACUUUCUGGUCUGUAACUGACGCUGAUGUGCGAAAGCGUGGGGAUCAAACAGGAUUAGAUACCCUGGUAGUCCACGCCGUAAACGAUGAGUGCUAAGUGUUAGGGGGUUUCCGCCCCUUAGUGCUGCAGCUAACGCAUUAAGCACUCCGCCUGGGGAGUACGACCGCAAGGUUGAAACUCAAAGGAAUUGACGGGGACCCGCACAAGCGGUGGAGCAUGUGGUUUAAUUCGAAGCAACGCGAAGAACCUUACCAAAUCUUGACAUCCUUUGACAACUCUAGAGAUAGAGCCUUCCCCUUCGGGGGACAAAGUGACAGGUGGUGCAUGGUUGUCGUCAGCUCGUGUCGUGAGAUGUUGGGUUAAGUCCCGCAACGAGCGCAACCCUUAAGCUUAGUUGCCAUCAUUAAGUUGGGCACUCUAAGUUGACUGCCGGUGACAAACCGGAGGAAGGUGGGGAUGACGUCAAAUCAUCAUGCCCCUUAUGAUUUGGGCUACACACGUGCUACAAUGGACAAUACAAAGGGCAGCGAAACCGCGAGGUCAAGCAAAUCCCAUAAAGUUGUUCUCAGUUCGGAUUGUAGUCUGCAACUCGACUACAUGAAGCUGGAAUCGCUAGUAAUCGUAGAUCAGCAUGCUACGGUGAAUACGUUCCCGGGUCUUGUACACACCGCCCGUCACACCACGAGAGUUUGUAACACCCGAAGCCGGUGGAGUAACCUUUUAGGAGCUAGCCGUCGAAGGUGGGACAAAUGAUUGGGGUGAAGUCGUAACAAGGUAGCCGUAUCGGAAGGUGCGGCUGGAUCAC
This 1538-nucleotide ribosomal RNA is filed under the name Staphylococcus aureus VET0468R. Its description in RNAcentral is "partial 16S ribosomal RNA". It matches the Rfam family "Bacterial small subunit ribosomal RNA". The record is from RNAcentral. Lineage: Bacteria; Bacillati; Bacillota; Bacilli; Caryophanales; Staphylococcaceae.